This 633-nucleotide ribosomal RNA is filed under the name Triticum aestivum (bread wheat). RNAcentral describes it as "partial small subunit ribosomal RNA". The record is from RNAcentral. Lineage: Eukaryota; Viridiplantae; Streptophyta; Magnoliopsida; Poales; Poaceae.
AUGCUAUCAAGGAAGGGGACUUUGUCAACACCUUUCGGACCAGUAAAUCAGGCACAUAAGCAGCUGUUCGACGAGGGAACCAAUCCUAUCAAGGAAGGGGACUUUGUCAACACCUUUGAAUGCGUCAGCCACGACCUCGAGAUCAGCUCAAAGAAGCGCUGUAGCACAAGAGAGGCAAUUGGUAGCAAAUCAGUCUGGUCAGAAUUCACCGGAGAGUCCUUCCUUAGAGCAGAAUGGCGCAGAGCAACUGGGAAGCGGACUACGUCUACGGACAUGAUGCGUGAUGUACACAUCCAUCACUACUAUUUGCUCAAGUGGAUCAUCCAAACGGCCAACCUGUUCAUGGUGGAGGGGGCGAUGCCUGCUAAGUCCUCCAAUUCAUGCUCAGGUGCAACCUGGAAUGAUUGGGUUUAUGACAUUGGGUGGCAGUAUAAUUCUCAUGCUGACGACAAUUAUUUUUUUGACGAGGAUUCAGUGGUUGUCUGUGGCAUGUGUUCAACUAGGAACUCAUCAUUAUUGGAGUAUUUCAUCUGUAUAUACCAAAGCAAGGCGGGAGAAGAAGCAGUUAUAUUGUGCCUUGCAUCAUUUGAUAGACAUAUAGCUGAACCUCUUAUUCCAUCCCUCCGUCCUUGA